CUACUACUCCCUCCGUCCGAAAAUACUUAUCAUUGAAAUGGAUGUAUCUAGAUGUAUUUUAGUUCUAGACACAUCCAUUUUGAUGACAAGUAAGUCCAGAUGGAGGGAGUAUUAU
Triticum aestivum (bread wheat) is the source of this 115-nucleotide non-coding RNA. NCBI's taxonomy places the organism in Eukaryota, Viridiplantae, Streptophyta, Magnoliopsida, Poales, Poaceae. The record is from Rfam.